This 304-nucleotide long non-coding RNA is filed under the name Nicotiana tabacum (common tobacco). RNAcentral describes it as "long non-coding RNA (NTAB_LNC003234)". The record is from RNAcentral. Lineage: Eukaryota; Viridiplantae; Streptophyta; Magnoliopsida; Solanales; Solanaceae.
CCUCCUCAAUUGAGCUCCGGCCGUCCCCGCCGACCAGAGAGGCCAUCACCGGACCUUGAUCACCACCGCCAACUUGAGAGGCCAUCACCGGACCUUGACCACCACCGCCGACCUGAGAGGCAUUCGCCGGAGCUUGACCACCGCCGCCGACCUGAGAGGCCAUCACCUGACCUUGACUAUCACCGUCGGCCUGAGAGGCCAUCUCCAGACCGUCGAUCGCGAGAUCCUGAACUUCCUCGCCCUUCGUCCAAGAGAAAGUAUGAAGAUUAUGAUGAUCACCAUCAUGAGGACCGCCAUCGCCGUG